GCUUAACACAUGCAAGUCGAGGGGCAGCAUGGUCUUAGCUUGCUAAGGCCGAUGGCGACCGGCGCACGGGUGAGUAACACGUAUCCAACCUGCCGUCUACUCUUGGACAGCCUUCUGAAAGGAAGAUUAAUACAAGAUGGCAUCAUGAGUCCACAUGUUCACAUGAUUAAAGGUAUUCCGGUAGACGAUGGGGAUGCGUUCCAUUAGAUAGUAGGCGGGGUAACGGCCCACCUAGUCUUCGAUGGAUAGGGGUUCUGAGAGGAAGGUCCCCCACAUUGGAACUGAGACACGGUCCAAACUCCUACGGGAGGCAGCAGUGAGGAAUAUUGGUCAAUGGGCGAGAGCCUGAACCAGCCAAGUAGCGUGAAGGAUGACUGCCCUAUGGGUUGUAAACUUCUUUUAUAAAGGAAUAAAGUCGGGUAUGCAUACCCGUUUGCAUGUACUUUAUGAAUAAGGAUCGGCUAACUCCGUGCCAGCAGCCGCGGUAAUACGGAGGAUCCGAGCGUUAUCCGGAUUUAUUGGGUUUAAAGGGAGCGUAGAUGGAUGUUUAAGUCAGUUGUGAAAGUUUGCGGCUCAACCGUAAAAUUGCAGUUGAUACUGGAUAUCUUGAGUGCAGUUGAGGCAGGCGGAAUUCGUGGUGUAGCGGUGAAAUGCUUAGAUAUCACGAAGAACUCCGAUUGCGAAGGCAGCCUGCUAAGCUGCAACUGACAUUGAGGCUCGAAAGUGUGGGUAUCAAACAGGAUUAGAUACCCUGGUAGUCCACACGGUAAACGAUGAAUACUCGCUGUUUGCGAUAUACUGCAAGCGGCCAAGCGAAAGCGUUAAGUAUUCCACCUGGGGAGUACGCCGGCAACGGUGAAACUCAAAGGAAUUGACGGGGGCCCGCACAAGCGGAGGAACAUGUGGUUUAAUUCGAUGAUACGCGAGGAACCUUACCCGGGCUUAAAUUGCAGAUGAAUUACGGUGAAAGCCGUAAGCCGCAAGGCAUCUGUGAAGGUGCUGCAUGGUUGUCGUCAGCUCGUGCCGUGAGGUGUCGGCUUAAGUGCCAUAACGAGCGCAACCCUUGUUGUCAGUUACUAACAGGUUCUGCUGAGGACUCUGACAAGACUGCCAUCGUAAGAUGUGAGGAAGGUGGGGAUGACGUCAAAUCAGCACGGCCCUUACGUCCGGGGCUACACACGUGUUACAAUGGGGGGUACAGAGGGCCGCUACCACGCGAGUGGAUGCCAAUCCCAAAAACCUCUCUCAGUUCGGACUGGAGUCUGCAACCCGACUCCACGAAGCUGGAUUCGCUAGUAAUCGCGCAUCAGCCACGGCGCGGUGAAUACGUUCCCGGGCCUUGUACACACCGCCCGUCAAGCCAUGGGAGCCGGGGGUACCUGAAGUGCGUAACCGCGAGGAGCGCCCUAGGGUAAAACUGGUGACUGGGGCUAA
Molecule: ribosomal RNA, 1434 nt
Filed under: uncultured organism
Description: 16S ribosomal RNA
Rfam family: Bacterial small subunit ribosomal RNA
Source: RNAcentral